This 538-nucleotide ribosomal RNA is filed under the name Cairnsicis sp. ARC4815. RNAcentral's name for it is "partial 16S large subunit ribosomal RNA". It matches the Rfam family "Bacterial large subunit ribosomal RNA", at positions 1819 to 2625 of the family's 2925-position model. Lineage: Eukaryota; Metazoa; Arthropoda; Insecta; Coleoptera; Curculionidae. The record is from RNAcentral.
GGCUUAUUGUAUAAAAUUUUAAGUUUGACCUGCCCAAUGAUAAAAAUUUAAUGGCCGCGGUAUUUUGACCGUGCAAAGGUAGCAUAAUCAUUAGUUUUUUAAUUGAAAGCUUGUAUGAAAGGUUUAAUGAAAAAAUAUCUGUCUCUGUUUAAAUUGUAAAGAAAUUUAUUUUUAAGUAAAAAAGCUUAAAUAUGUAUAGAAGACGAGAAGACCCUAUAGAGUUUUAUAAUUUUAGUUAAAUAUAAAAGAUUUUAGAAUUUAUAGUUUAUAUAUAUAAAAUUAUUUUGUUGGGGUGAUUUAAAAAUUAAAUAAACUUUUUUUGUAGAGAAACAUUAAUUUAUGAGUUUUUGAUCCUUAUGAAAGAUUAAAAGAAAAAAUUACCUUAGGGAUAACAGCGUUAUUUUUUUUAGAGUUCUAAUUGAAAGAAAAGUUUGCGACCUCGAUGUUGGAUUAAAAGGAAUUGUUGGUGUAGAAGCUAAUAAAUUAGGUCUGUUCGACCUUUAAAAUUUUACAUGAUCUGAGUUUAAACCGGUGUGAG